AGUGAACGCUGGCGGUAUGCCUAACACAUGCAAGUCGAACGGCAGCACAGUAAGAGCUUGCUCUUACGGGUGGCGAGUGGCGGACGGGUGAGGAAUACAUCGGAAUCUACUUUUUCGUGGGUGAUAACGUAGGGAAACUUACGCUAAUACCGCAUACGACCUACGGGUGAAAGCAGGGGAUCUUCGGACCUUGCGCGAUUGAAUGAGCCGAUGUCGGAUUAGCUAGUUGGCGGGGUAAAGGCCCACCAAGGCGACGAUCCGUAGCUGAUCUGAGAGGAUGAUCGGCCACACUGGAACUGAGACACGGUCCAGACUCCUACGGGAGGCAGCAGUGGGGAAUAUUGGACAAUGGGCGCAAGCCUGAUCCAGCCAUACCGCGUGGGUGAAGAAGGCCUUCGGGUUGUAAAGCCCUUUUGUUGGGAAAGAAAAGCAGCAGGUUAAUACCCCGCUGUUCUGACGGUACCCAAAGAAUAAGCACCGGCUAACUUCGUG
This 492-nucleotide ribosomal RNA is filed under the name uncultured bacterium. RNAcentral's name for it is "partial 16S ribosomal RNA". It matches the Rfam family "Bacterial small subunit ribosomal RNA", at positions 29 to 507 of the family's 1533-position model. The record is from RNAcentral.